This 408-nucleotide ribosomal RNA is filed under the name uncultured bacterium. RNAcentral describes it as "partial 16S ribosomal RNA". It matches the Rfam family "Bacterial small subunit ribosomal RNA", at positions 28 to 526 of the family's 1533-position model. The record is from RNAcentral.
GACGAACGCUGGCGGCGUGCUUAACACAUGCAAGUCGAACGAAGUGGCGAACGGGUGAGUAAUGCGUAAUCAACCUGCCCUUCAGAGGGGGACAACAGUUGGAAACGACUGCUAAUCCCGCAUACUGAAGGAGGGGAUUGCGUCGGAUUAGCUAGGUGGAGGGGUAACGGCCAACCAAGGCGAUGAUCAGUAGCCGGGCUGAGAGGAUGAACGGCCACAUUGGGACUGGGACACGGCCCAGACUCCUACGGGAGGCAGCAGUGGGGAAUCUUCCGCAAUGGACGGAAGUCUGACGAAGCAACGCCGCGUGAGUGAUGAAGGCCUUCGGGUUGUAAAGCUCUGUUAAGCGGGACGCGGUACCGGAAUAGAAAGCCACGGCUAACUACGUGCCAGCAGCCGCGGUAAUUC